GCGGGAUAUAGCUCAGUUGGUAGAGCACGACCUUGCCAAGGUCGGGGUCGCGAGUUCGAGUCUCGUUUCCCGCUCCA
This 77-nucleotide transfer RNA is filed under the name Klebsiella pneumoniae. RNAcentral's name for it is "tRNA-Gly". It matches the Rfam family "tRNA". Rfam says of the family: Transfer RNA (tRNA) molecules are approximately 80 nucleotides in length. Their secondary structure includes four short double-helical elements and three loops (D, anti-codon, and T loops). Lineage: Bacteria; Pseudomonadati; Pseudomonadota; Gammaproteobacteria; Enterobacterales; Enterobacteriaceae. The record is from RNAcentral.